UGGCUCAGUUGGUAGAGCAUGGUGUUUGCAAUGCCAGGGUUGUGGGUUCAAUUCACAC
RNAcentral lists this transfer RNA (58 nucleotides) under Salmo salar (Atlantic salmon). It matches the Rfam family "tRNA", at positions 8 to 63 of the family's 71-position model. From Rfam's summary of the family: Transfer RNA (tRNA) molecules are approximately 80 nucleotides in length. Their secondary structure includes four short double-helical elements and three loops (D, anti-codon, and T loops). Lineage: Eukaryota; Metazoa; Chordata; Actinopteri; Salmoniformes; Salmonidae. The record is from Rfam by way of RNAcentral.